Small nucleolar RNA from Acanthochromis polyacanthus (spiny chromis), 180 nucleotides. The record is from Ensembl. NCBI's taxonomy places the organism in Eukaryota, Metazoa, Chordata, Actinopteri, Pomacentridae.
GGUGAAUGGUGUGCACGGUGUUAGUCCGUGUCAUGUGCUGUUGCUGGUCUGUGUUUUGCAGACUUUGCAGCGGUGCUCACUCCACACCUGCAGCCAUAGAACACCUGGAGAUCAUAGUACUGGCCCUUGACGUCUUUACAGACAUCUCACAUUGGCCAGCCUCCAAACUCUCCAACAGAC